GAUUUAUGCCGCACCUCAAGGAAGAAACUCACUGAAAAUUUUGCAACAUUUACAAGAUUGCGCGUAUGUUAAGGACGAGCAGGUGAUAAUCGUUUGCCAAGUGGAAAAUGCAACGUCAUAUCUUUGGUAUAAAGAUGGAAAAUUAUUGGAGGGAAAGACUGUAUCUUUUGAGGUGAGAGGUUUGAAACUGUUCAUAGGAAAAUUCAAUGAAACCGAUGCUGGUGUCUACCAAUGCGUAGGGAAAGAUGGAAAGGGGAAUUUUGGCAAGACUGCAGCUAAAUUGUCGCUUGAAGGUAUGGUAUAUACACAUACUAUAUUUAUCACACAUUUGGGCCUUUAUCAGGGCCAAAUACAGGGUGACAUAAAAGCGAUAUUUUUUGUCACUGCCUGUUAUCGUUUUUUGUUACUGAUAUCGCUUUUUGUACCGCUGUUUAUAAUUUUUGCAUUGGGGCAAUGAUUAGUAUUCUAAUAAAUUCUGAUCCUGAUAAAGGCUCAAGUAUAUCAACAGAUUAUUAUCAUCUGGGCGAUAUCAGUUUUAUCGCUUUCAGGACGAGAUCAUAAAUGUCUCUCAUUCGAUGAAACUGAUAUCUCCUCGCCCUCCUAAGAUAACCUACAUGCUGAUAUACAUAAUGCAACUUGCAUCACGGGACGGCGCUAUGGAGGGGGAGGGGAGGGGGGGGACGCCCCACAAGCCAAUUAGUCGACAAAUUGUUUUCAGACAAAAUAUUUUUCUCAUGAAAACAUCGUAAAAUAUGGUAAAACAUUGCUGUGCAUGUGGGAAAAUUUUUACCUCCCUACCCCGUACGUUACCAGAAAUUCCUUGUAAAUGUUAAAAGAGAAAUACUUUUUGAUAUACGUAUAGGAGAAAUGACGUAGCAAAAUUUCACUUACCCUCUCCCCCCGCAAUAAAAUAACACAAUUUUGCAUGCUUAUAAUUUUAAUUUUAAAAUAUAGACCCAUUGCACUGACGUCACAAAUCCUUAGAGUGUCCUCCAGAUGCUCCCUAACAAUAUCUGUUCGGGUACAACAACCACAUACAUGCAGUGCAAAAAUCAACCAUUUUAAUACAAAAGUAUUUUUGUUUUAUUUUUUGUUUUAAGUUUUACAAAAUUUGUUUUGUUUACAGAAGUUAUAUUAUGCAUAGAUUUGUCCCACUGAACACUGAUUUGUCCUUCAAAUGCAUCUUCACUAGCGCUGUGACGUCAUGUGCAAUGGGUCUAUACCACGAACCGGAUAAGCUGUGUAAAAUCAUAAGCGUUCGGGGAUGAUGCUUUCCGGGAUAUGGCACUUGAAAGUAAUUUGUAUGGAGAAUUGUAAUGAAAUUACCUGAAUUUAACUUAUUUUGUUAUAAAUCUGCCCGAAUUUUCUUGAUUUCUCCUAGCAUUUGCCCGAAUUUCCAUGGUUUUCCAAAAUGUUGGGGGUGGCAGUUGCCCCCAUGUUUCGUACGCCUAUGUAAUAGGCAAUUGCAGCUUUUAGUUUAUGCGUGUAUGGGGGUGGCCGUGUAAACACGGUGUGAUAGCUUAUGCUUGUAAAUAUCGAAACAUUUCUGUUGUGUCUGUUGGCGGUUUUUAUUGAAAUUUUUCAGCAUAAUCAGCAAUAUGAUACCUUACUUCCCGUCACCCCUUGCGCGUAUAUAUUAAAAACUGGAAUUGCCUAUUAAAAUUAGCUAGAUUUUAGGGCAUCUCACUUGAUUGAACAUUAGUUGAUGGAUUUUGUAAAUGGAAAUUUUGAGUGUAAAUUUAAGACAUUUAUAGACCCAACCAUAGGAGCAGCAGCAAAAGGUGCAACUAUAAAAGCACUCUUUGGAGGAAUCGACCCUGCGAUAAAUUAUACCGCAAGGUUGAUUAAAUAUAACUAAUCUAUUGUAUUUCUUAUCUUUUUUAGUUGGAACAGAUACGCUAUGUAGGCGACAAAGAAGUGGGUAUUGUAAUAUAAUAUACAGCCAAUUCAAAAAUGGUUUUCCUUUGCAAACCGUAGGAGCACAAGUUUCACG
RNAcentral lists this long non-coding RNA (1993 nucleotides) under Paramuricea clavata. Lineage: Eukaryota; Metazoa; Cnidaria; Anthozoa; Malacalcyonacea; Plexauridae. The record is from RNAcentral.